UACAGAGGGUGAAAGCGUUGUUCGGCAUUAUUGGGCGUAAAGCGCGUGUAGGCGGCUUUGCAAGUCGGGUGUGAAAGCCCUCAGCUCAACUGAGGAAGUGCGCCCGAAACUGCAGAGCUUGAGUACCGGAGAGGGUGGCGGAAUUCCCCAAGUAGAGGUGAAAUUCGUAGAUAUGGGGAGGAACACCGGUGGCGAAGGCGGCCACCUGGACGGUCACUGACGCUGAGACGCGAAAGCGUGGGGAGCAAACAGG
Molecule: ribosomal RNA, 253 nt
Filed under: uncultured bacterium
Lineage: Bacteria
Description: partial 16S ribosomal RNA
Rfam family: Bacterial small subunit ribosomal RNA
Source: RNAcentral